This 4274-nucleotide long non-coding RNA is filed under the name Homo sapiens (human). RNAcentral describes it as "HSALNT0390581". Lineage: Eukaryota; Metazoa; Chordata; Mammalia; Primates; Hominidae. The record is from RNAcentral.
AAGAAAUAGAGAAGAAAACGGAGGAGAGGAGGAAGAAGGGGCAGGCAGUGGGACAGGCAGUCGAGCUGGAUUUGUUUCUCAUUCGCUCUUGGCUCCUCUGGUGGAAAAAUCGAAGCGCUCCCCCUGGUACUGCUGAGGCGGAGAGGGUGAGCGUGGCUGGGAGGCUGUCCUGGCAGGGAAGUCCAGGGGCAGGCGGGGCCUGGCCGGGGAGAGGCUGCCCCCUGCUCACAACCCCCUUCCCAGCCCUCUUACUUCGACGUGGCUCUCUAGGCCCAGUGGGAAGUCCUGCCUCAGCUGAAGUGGAGGGGCCGGGCCAGGGAGGAGGUCGGACUGGGCUUGGGUUCAGCCUCAGGCUCGUAGCACCCUCCUUCCCUGGGCCUGUCUCUAGAGCAGUCUCCCAAGGGUGAUUUAAAAUCCCCCGAGGGUCUUCCAAGGAAGUGCUGUCAAGCUGCAGCAGGAGGGGGCCGAGUCAGACCUGGGACAGGCUUUCUCAGCAUUCAGACUUUGCCUAAGUGGGAGGUGAGCUGUGUACUAGGAGGGGAGGGUUCCACAGGCAACUGCUGGAUAUUUCCUGAACAUCCAGGGACAUGAGAAGCCUUUUCUGUACAUCAUCCCAUGUGGCCCUCACAGACACCCCAAGGUCAGUAUUAGCCAUCCCAUUUACAAAAAUUUUUUUAACACACACGGUUUUGCUCUGUUGCCCAGGCUCCAGUGCAGCGGCGCAGUCAUAACUGAAGGCACCCUCUAACUCCUAGGCUCAAGCAAUCCUCCUGCCUCAGCCUCCCAAGUACCUAAGACUACAGGCACAAGCCACCACACCUAACUCAUUUAUUUUUUUUGAGGAAGGGCCUCAUUAUGUUGUCCAGGCUAGUUUCAAAUUCCUGGCCUCAAGUGAUCCACCCACCUCGGCCUCCCAAAGUGCUGGGAUUACAGGGGUGAGCCACCAUGCCUGGCCCCAUCCCAUUUUACAGGUGAGGGACUUGAGGCUCCAUGAAGUCAGGUGCCCCACUCAAGGGGCUACACAGCCUCUACGUGGCAGGGCUGGGAUUUGAACCCAGUUGUGUCUGGCUCUUUCCCAAACACUGGAAAAGGCAGGCCUUUUUCCCCUCCACCCCAGGGCCCGGGAGCCCCUGAGCAGCUCCUGGGUGGGGCUGCCCCACAGGGAGACAGCCUUGGGGGAACCCAGGAGGUCUUUGGGCUGUGGCCUGUCUCUGUGGCACAGUGGGGUGCCUCGGGAGAUCUCCCCUCCACCUACCCUCCUCUUGUGGAGUUGGACCCACCCCCACCCCAUUUUUUCAGAGGGCCCUCACCCCAGCCCUCUCCAUCCCGGUGGAAAGAGGAGCCCAACCUCUUUCCCUCUGGAAUCCGCUGCCUCGGCUCUCCGAUGGAGAGACCAUCUGGAGUGCAUUAUGGGCAGAGGAGAAAGCCGAGAGCAGGAAAAUGUGAGUUGGCCCCAGCAGCUCCCGUCUGCAGGGGGGCGGCGGGGGCUCAGGGGAUGGGCCAACCGCUGCCUCCACCUCCCCAGUCCCUAGAAGGGGCAGAUAAGAGAUGUGCUCAGGAAAGGGUGGCCAGGAGAGGGCAGGGCCCAGGCCUCCAACACCCUUGCAGAGCCCAGUUUGAACCUGCUAAUCUUGCCAACCUGCCCAUUUCACAGAGAGAAGACUGAGGUCCAGAGAGGGGUAGUAACUUCCCCAGGGCCACACAGCAACCCUUUCACAAAUAUGCACAUGCCAGUGGGCACUGAAAGUCUCCAGUGUUGGGGGCAGGCGGAGUUAGCGCUGGGAGUGGGAAAGAGGCCGGGGUCAGCCUCCAGAGUAAAGUGAAGGCGCAAAGCCUCAUGCAAACAUCGAGGAAUGCCUUCAUUGUUUCGAGGUCUCUCUUCCUGGCCUCCCAAGCCCACUCCCUGCCCCAAGUGCCACCCUUCCCUGGCACCUGAUCCCUGAGGACGUUGGGUCCUGGGGUGGGGGCCUCUGGGCUCUUCCUCUGGGUCCCAGGAGCCCCCUCCCCACUCUGUGGCCCCAGCUCCAGACUUGGCAAGGCAAGCCGGAGUGAGGUUUCUCCACUCCCUCCCAAGUGCUGUGCUGGCGGCUCCCGAAAUAAAAAUCAAAUGUGGGCUUGGCAAAGGGAGCGGGGUGGGAGAAGCAGCGGCAGCAGGGCUGGGGCUUCAUUCUUUCCAUUGUAACUUCACCUCCUAACCUCUGGCAUUUUAAUUAUGUCUCCUACCCCCCUCACUCUGCCUGGGCCAGGGGGUGAGCUCACCCUUUCCUCUAGCCUGGGAGGGGGCAGCUGCUGCCUGGACCCCCAGUCCCCGGCCUGCUCGGGGGAAUCUGGGUGGCGGCCAUGCUGGGGGUGUCGGCCUCAGGCUCCCUCCAGCUUCUCCAGUCUCAGAGGGGCCUGGAGAGGGGCCCAGCCCCCAGACAGCCAGCCGACACCUCAAGUUCCAUGUGUGAAUCAUUAGUCUUCACACCCACUGCUCCAUUUAGUGGUGGCCACUGUCCUAAGGCAAGGCACGGCAGGCUCACCAGCCCAUUCUAUGGAUGACUUAGCCAUCAUCGUCUGCAGGGCCAAGCCUGGGCCCAGGCCUAUCGCUCCUGGUUCUGCACUCUUUCCAAACCCAGGAAGAGGGGCAAGAACAGCUCAGGCCUGAUAAUUUGCCUUAUCUCUUCGAGUGUCCGUUUUUUUCCAAUGUCUCCCCAAAUGCAUGUUCCAUCAGCAAACUCUGCCCCAGGCCUUGCUACGGCCUCUGCUCUGGUGGAACUUCCGGAUGAAGAGGGUGAGGCGCUAUUUACCAUACUGGGUGCUGUGAUGGGGGAGAUUAAGGUGACAGCAGCUCCGGGAAGGGGACUCCUGACCCAACCUCUGGUGUGAAGAGCAUAGAGAAGGCUUCCCAGAGUGAGGGGUGACCAGGAGGAGCCCGGGAGGAAGAGCAUGGAGGGCAGAGGGAGCAGCAUUUGCAAGGCCCAGAGGUAAGACAGUGCCUAGGGCAGGGCCCACGGGAGCAUCCGGCCUGGAGGGAGCGGCCAGGGUCCUGGGAGCUGCGCGAGCUGUUAGGGUGCAUCUUAGGAAGAUUUCUGGGCAGGCUGUGGAGGAUGGGUUGGAAGGUAAUCAGAACGGAGGUGGAGUGACCUCUUAGAAGGCUGCCACAGAGGCCCAGGUGAGAGGUGAUGGUAGCCAGGCCCAGGCCAGUGGCAGCCAGGUGGAAAGAGGUGGCCAGACUGAUAAGAGAUUUAAAAGGCAGAAGCCAGAGGACUUGGUGACUGAUGGGCAGAAGGAUGGGGGCCAGUGAUCUGCUCAGGCUGGCUCCUGGGCUUCUGAAGAAUGAAUGAACGAAUGAAUGAAUGAAUGAACAAACGAACUGGGAAACAGCACCAGAUCUGAAAGCCCCAGGUUUCAGCUUGAUCGUCGGGCUGGGGAGUUUGCUGCUGCACUUGCAUUUGGUACACCUGCAGGGCAUCCAAGUGGAGGUGCCCAUGAGAUGGCUGGACGCAUGGAGGUGCCCUGGAGAAGGUGGAGAGAGAGGAAGCCGGCACAGCCUGCAAAGAGGCCAGAGAAUGAGUAGCCAGAGCCCCUGAAGCCUCACAGGAGGAGGUCUUAGACAAGGCACAGCCAACAGUGCCAAUGGCAAGAGAUGAAGCAGAGACUCACCCAGCGCUUCCAGAAGCUGGGGCAAAGAGGAGCACACACGACCACCUGCCUACUGAGCAGCUCACACUUCCUCCAAUGGAGCCACCACAAGGAAAUAUUGCUUGCUUGGUGCUAGACAAGUGCCGAAGAUGCUGUGAGAGGCAGAUAGAAGUCCCUGCUGUCACGGAUCUUAAGUUCCAGGAAGAGACACAGAUAUAGAGUCGUGAACAAGUAAAGACUAAAAAUUAAAAUCAUGAUGGGGGAUGCCAUCAUGACUGGCCACUCUGAAGGCCGGGCUUGUGUCCUGUCUCCCCUCAGACUGAGGGCUCCCUGAGGGCAGAGCCUGUGCCUGCUCCAUCAGACAAAGGUAGAACCAGCUUCUCCAUCAGGCUAGAAGCACCCUGAGACUCAGGGAGAGGCAUGGAGCAUCUGGGAACAAGAGCUGAGGUGUCCUAGAAACCUCCCAGGAACAGACCCAGGGAUAGAAGUUGGCAGGCAACUGGCAAAGGACCCUCUUCCCAGCCAGGCCAAAUGUGGGAGGGCUUCCCUCUCCUCCUCCCCAUCCAGCCCCCGACCCCAUUAAACCUUUAAAUUAACUUCAGCUCCACCCCGAGCUAUAGAGAGUGCCCCAAAAUAAAUCCUAAAUUACA